AUGCUUGCAUUUCACAGAAUGCUCAGGAGUCAGACUUCAGGAUACUGUGUGAUGCAGCCACUCUCACGUUCAUCAUCCAGUGUAAGCAGUUGUUGUAGUGGAUUGAGGGAAAAUGGAACAUCAGAGGAAGAGGAGAAUGACAGGGAGCUGACGUGCUCACUUAAGGGCCCUCCAAAAAAGGAUUCAAUGAUUCAGAGUAUGUGGCUGGAUGACAAUGACUGCACACCCAGUACUUCUAGCUCACCAGGAAGCAGGUUGCUUCCUUCCAGCAGUGUUGCUGGCUCCACUGGAAAAGGAAAAGGCAGCAAAGCAGAGGCUCAGCACCAUAAUCCAGCCUCCAUUUUGUGCUGUGUGUGAUGUCGGCGCUGGAGCACUGCCUGCCGCACGCAGGGUGAGCAGCACAGACUACAUGACUGGAAGUCCCUCACAGCCAUAUCCAAAUCACCUUUGGAUAGGCAGAAAUUAGGGCAUCCUUGAGGAAGCAAAACAGAGUCUACUUCAGUUACCAGCUGAACCUACAGUGGUGUUCACAACUGUUCUCCAAAGACAUUCCUGUAAAACUUGCAUUAGUUAAAAACCCCUGCAAGGUUUGGGGUUGGUGCCCAUGAAUGCACAUGUGUGGUGGCCUCCUCAAAUAUCAGUGACUGCAGAGCAAGUGUAUCAAAUACUGUCCAGGAUGGGGACAAUUCCUUUUAAAAUACUUGAUUGGUUCCCUAGAUUCUUUUUUGGGCUGUAAUUUUGUGUCCUUCCCAGCUGCCAUGAUGCAAAGUAAAAGGAAGCAUUAAUAUCUUAGCCUGUGCUUCUUAUAUCUAUGUAGUACACUGGACUUAAAAUAAAAAGAGAAUGUGGCCAGUUUCUCUUAGGUUU
RNAcentral lists this long non-coding RNA (867 nucleotides) under Lonchura striata (white-rumped munia). Its description in RNAcentral is "domestica (Bengalese finch) lncRNA (ENSLSDG00000012467.1)". The record is from RNAcentral. Lineage: Eukaryota; Metazoa; Chordata; Aves; Passeriformes; Estrildidae.